AGAAAGCGUAAUAGCUCACUAGUCGAGUCGGCCUGCGCGGAAGAUGUAACGGGGCUAAAACUAGUCACCGAAGCUGCGGCAUCAGUAGAAAUACUGUUGGGUAGGGGAGCGUUCUGUAAGCGGAUGAAGCUGAAUUGAGAAGUUUGGUGGACGUAUCAGAAGUGCGAAUGCUGACAUAAGUAACGACAAAACGAGUGAAAAACUCGUUCGCCGGAAGACCAAGGGUUCCUGUCCAACGUUAAUCGGGGCAGGGUGAGUCGGCCCCUAAGGCGAGGCUGAAAAGCGUAGUCGAUGGGAAACGGGUUAAUAUUCCCGUACUUGGUAUAACUGCGAUGUGGGGACGGAGAAGGUUAGGUUAUCAGACUGUUGGAUGUCUGUUUAAGCCGGUAGGUGGGAAUUUUAGGCAAAUCCGGAAUUCCGUUAACACCGAGAAGUGAUGACGAGUCUCUACGGAGAYGAAGUAACCGAUACCACGCUUCCAGGAAAAGCCACUAAGCUUCAGGUUAUACUAAACCGUACUAUAAACCGACACAGGUGGUCAGGUAGAGAAUACUCAGGCGCUUGAGAGAACUCGGGUGAAGGAACUAGGCAAAAUAGCACCGUAACUUCGGGAGAAGGUGCGCCGGCGUAGAUUGUAGAGAUUUACUCUCGAAGGUUGAACCGGUCGAAGAUACCAGCUGGCUGCAACUGUUUAUUAAAAACACAGCACUCUGCAAACACGAAAGUGGACGUAUAGGGUGUGAUGCCUGCCCGGUGCUGGAAGGUUAAUUGAUGGUGUUAUCGAAAGAGAAGCUCCUGAUCGAAGCCCCAGUAAACGGCG
This 820-nucleotide ribosomal RNA is filed under the name Actinobacillus equuli. RNAcentral describes it as "bacterial LSU rRNA". It matches the Rfam family "Bacterial large subunit ribosomal RNA", at positions 1128 to 1932 of the family's 2925-position model. The record is from RNAcentral. Lineage: Bacteria; Pseudomonadati; Pseudomonadota; Gammaproteobacteria; Pasteurellales; Pasteurellaceae.